RNAcentral lists this ribosomal RNA (248 nucleotides) under uncultured Oscillospiraceae bacterium. RNAcentral's name for it is "partial 16S ribosomal RNA". It matches the Rfam family "Bacterial small subunit ribosomal RNA", at positions 524 to 771 of the family's 1533-position model. The record is from RNAcentral. Lineage: Bacteria; Bacillati; Bacillota; Clostridia; Eubacteriales; Oscillospiraceae.
UACGUAGGGGGCGAGCGUUGUCCGGAAUUAUUGGGUGUAAAGGGCGCGUAGGCGGGGAUGCAAGUCAGAUGUGAAAUCUAUGGGCUCAACCCAUAAACUGCAUUUGAAACUGUAUCUCUUGAGUGCUGGAGAGGUAGAUGGAAUUCCUUGUGUAGCGGUGAAAUGCGUAGAUAUAAGGAAGAACACCAGUGGCGAAGGCGAUCUACUGGACAGUAACUGACGCUGAGGCGCGAGAGCGUGGGGAGCAA